GAUGAACGCUAGCGGCAGGCCUAACACAUGCAAGUCGAGGGGCAGCACGUCUUCGGAUGGUGGCGACCGGCGCACGGGUGCGUAACGCGUAUGCAACCUACCUCUUACAGUGGGAUAGCCCAGAGAAAUUUGGAUUAAUACCGCAUAGUAUACAGAUUCAGCAUUGGGACUGUAUUAAACAUUUAUGGGUAAGAGAUGGGCAUGCGUUCUAUUAGUUAGUUGGAGUGGUAACGGCACCCCAAGACAGCGAUAGAUAGGGGCCCUGAGAGGGGGAUCCCCCGACACUGGUACUGAGACACGGACCAGACUCCUACGGGAGGCAGCAGUGAGGAAUAUUGGACAAUGGGCGAGAGCCUGAUCCAGCCAUG
This 368-nucleotide ribosomal RNA is filed under the name uncultured bacterium. RNAcentral's name for it is "bacterial SSU rRNA". It matches the Rfam family "Bacterial small subunit ribosomal RNA", at positions 28 to 396 of the family's 1533-position model. The record is from RNAcentral.